GUCCUUUUGAUAUUUAUAUAAGGUCUAGCCUGCCCAAUGAUUAAUUUUAAAUGGCCGCGGUAUCCUGACCGUGCAAAGGUAGCAUAAUCAUUAGUUUUUUAAUUGAAAGCUGGUAUGAAAGGUUGGAUAAGAGAAAUACUGUCUCUUAAAAAUUUUAUUAGAAUUUUAUUUUUAAGUUAAAAAGCUUAAAUGAAAUUUAAAGACGAGAAGACCCUUUAGAGUUUUAUAUAAUUGAUUAUAUUUUAUUUUUUAGUAUUAAUUAAGUAGAAUUUAAUUAUUAUAUUUGGUUGGGGUGAUUGAAAAAUUUAUUAAACUUUUUCUUUUAUAGAACAUUAAUUUAUGAAUAUUUGAUCCAAUAAUUUUGAUUAUAAGAAUAAAUUACCUAAGGGAUAACAGCGUUAUUUUUUUAAAGAGUUCAAAUCGAAAAAAAAGAUUGCGACCUCGAUGUUGGAUUAAAAUUAAAUUAUGGUGCAGAAGCUAUAAUUUUAGGUCUGUUCGACCUUUAAAAUUUUACA
Molecule: ribosomal RNA, 515 nt
Filed under: Aethina tumida (small hive beetle)
Lineage: Eukaryota; Metazoa; Arthropoda; Insecta; Coleoptera; Nitidulidae
Description: partial 16S ribosomal RNA
Rfam family: Archaeal large subunit ribosomal RNA
Source: RNAcentral